This 74-nucleotide transfer RNA is filed under the name Urbifossiella limnaea. RNAcentral's name for it is "Planctomycetes bacterium ETA_A1 tRNA-Arg". It matches the Rfam family "tRNA". Rfam says of the family: Transfer RNA (tRNA) molecules are approximately 80 nucleotides in length. Lineage: Bacteria; Pseudomonadati; Planctomycetota; Planctomycetia; Gemmatales; Gemmataceae. The record is from RNAcentral.
GCCCCCGUAGCUCAGGGGAUAGAGCACCGGUUUCCUAAACUGGGGGUCGUGCGUUCAAUUCGCACCGGGGGCAC